AUGCACUAGAUACUAACCUGACUGUCUGCUGCCCAGUAGUUUUUGUACUGGUGCACUUCAGUGGCUGUCAGGUCCAGAAUGGUGCUAUAAAAACAUGAGCCCUGAGAUUUAAGCACUGAGAGGGAAGUCACCUCAGAUGUUAUUACUCAGGGACACACAC
Molecule: non-coding RNA, 160 nt
Organism: Ictalurus punctatus (channel catfish)
Lineage: Eukaryota; Metazoa; Chordata; Actinopteri; Siluriformes; Ictaluridae
Gene: SCARNA1
Product: Small Cajal body specific RNA 1
Source: Ensembl